UGAACGCUAGCGGCAGGCUAACACAUGCAAAUCGAGGGAGAAGCCUUCGGGCUGAAACCGGCGCACGGGUGCGUAACGCGUAUACAAUCUGCCUUUCACAUAGGGCAUAGCCCGAAGAAAUUUGGAUUAAUACCUAAUGGUAUAUAGGAGCGGCAUCGUUUUUAUAUUAAAGCUACGGUGGUGAAAGAUGAGUAUGCGUUCUAUUAGCUAGUUGGAGAGGUAACGGCUCCCCAAGGCGACGAUAGAUAGGGGUUCUGAGAGGGAUGUCCCCCACACUGGUACUGAGAUACGGACCAGACUCCUACGGGAGGCAGCAGUGAGGAAUAUUGGACAAUGGUCGGAAGACUGAUCCAGCCAUGCCGCGUGCAGGAUGAAGGUCCUAUGGAUUGUAAACUGCUUUUGUAAGGGAAGAAUAAGGGGUACGUGUACUUUGAUGACGGUACCUUACGAAUAAGCAUCGGCUAACUCCGUGCCAGCAGCCGCGGUAAUACGGAGGAUGCGAGCGUUAUCCGGAAUCAUUGGGUUUAAAGGGUCCGUAGGCGGGCUAAUAAGUCAGAGGUGAAAGCGUUCAGCUCAACUGAGCAACUGCCUUUGAAACUGUUAGUCUUGAAUGAUUGUGAAGUAGUUGGAAUGUGUAGUGUAGCGGUGAAAUGCCUAGAUAUUACACAGAACACCGAUAGCGAAGGCAUAUUACUAACAAUUUAUUGACGCUGAUGGACGAAAGCGUGGGGAGCGAACAGGAUUAGAUACCCUGGUAGUCCACGCUGUAAACGAUGGAUACUAGCUGUUUGGAGCAAUCUGAGUGGUAAGCGAAAGUGAUAAGUAUCCCACCU
RNAcentral lists this ribosomal RNA (833 nucleotides) under uncultured Bacteroidota bacterium. Its description in RNAcentral is "bacterial SSU rRNA". It matches the Rfam family "Bacterial small subunit ribosomal RNA", at positions 30 to 874 of the family's 1533-position model. The record is from RNAcentral. Lineage: Bacteria; Pseudomonadati; Bacteroidota.